This 428-nucleotide ribosomal RNA is filed under the name uncultured Gaiellales bacterium. Its description in RNAcentral is "bacterial SSU rRNA". It matches the Rfam family "Bacterial small subunit ribosomal RNA", at positions 355 to 776 of the family's 1533-position model. The record is from RNAcentral. Lineage: Bacteria; Bacillati; Actinomycetota; Thermoleophilia; Gaiellales.
UGGGGAAUCUUGCGCAAUGGGCGAAAGCCUGACGCAGCAACGCCGCGUGAGCGAAGAAGGCCUUCGGGUUGUAAAGCUCUGUCAGGGGGGAAAAAGGCACCUGGGUUAAUAGCCCAAGGGCUGAUGGUACCCCCAAAGGAAGCCACGGCUAACUACGUGCCAGCAGCCGCGGUAAUACGUAGGUGGCGAGCGUUGUCCGGAAUCAUUGGGCGUAAAGAGCGCGUAGGUGGCUUGUCAGGUCCGGUGUGAAAUCCUGGGGCUUAACCCCAGGCCUGCACCGGAAACCGGCUUGCUAGAGUCUGGGAGAGGAGAGUGGAAUUCCUGGUGUAGCGGUGAAAUGCGUAGAUAUCAGGAGGAACACCGGUAGCGAAGGCGGCUCUCUGGAACAGUACUGACACUGAGGCGCGAAAGCUAGGGGAGCAAACAGG